GAAUGAAUGCACUCUUCUCAACUGAGACAAUAUCAUCCAACACUGGCCGCAAAUGGUUCACAAGACACUUGGAAAUAACCUUAUACAUUGCGUUACAUAAGCUUAUAGGUAUGUAAUGUCAGAUAGUAGUCGGGUUGGGAAUUUCCGGAGUAAGAACGGUAGAGGUAGAAUUCACACCCUCGGGCAUAAGACCCAUAUCAAAGAAUACCCACACCGCAUCAAUC
This 224-nucleotide long non-coding RNA is filed under the name Hordeum vulgare. RNAcentral describes it as "long non-coding RNA (HVUL_LNC010259)". Lineage: Eukaryota; Viridiplantae; Streptophyta; Magnoliopsida; Poales; Poaceae. The record is from RNAcentral.